RNAcentral lists this ribosomal RNA (253 nucleotides) under uncultured bacterium. RNAcentral describes it as "partial 16S ribosomal RNA". It matches the Rfam family "Bacterial small subunit ribosomal RNA", at positions 524 to 776 of the family's 1533-position model. The record is from RNAcentral.
UACAGAGGUGGCAAGCGUUGCUCGGAAUUACUGGGCGUAAAGGGCGCGUAGGCGGAUAGUUUAGUCAGAGGUGAAAGCCCAGGGCUCAACCUUGGAACUGCCUUUGAUACUGGCUAUCUUGAGUUCGGGAGAGGUGAGUGGAAUGCCGAGUGUAGAGGUGAAAUUCGUAGAUAUUCGGCGGAACACCGGUGGCGAAGGCGACUCACUGGCCCGAUACUGACGCUGAGGCGCGAAAGCGUGGGGAGCAAACAGG